AUCCAUCAGAUGAGUCCCGAUUAGGACGAAACGCGAGUCCUAGAU
RNAcentral lists this non-coding RNA (45 nucleotides) under Schistosoma mansoni. The record is from RNAcentral. Lineage: Eukaryota; Metazoa; Platyhelminthes; Trematoda; Strigeidida; Schistosomatidae.